AUGCAAGGUAUCCAAACGUCCAGUACUUUAUUGAAGCAUUGUCGUUAGGCAAUCUGUUCUGUGGAAAACCCUGGAGUGAUUAUGCUCACAUAAGUAGCCAUAGUCUACAACUGACAACAUUUUACAAUUGUUGUAAUAGACGGCCGUAUUGCCCCUGGUUUCUGUAUCACGAUGCUGGUCGUGACAGAAUGAACCGGUCUCUCAG
Molecule: ribosomal RNA, 205 nt
Filed under: Sphaeropleales sp. YC001
Lineage: Eukaryota; Viridiplantae; Chlorophyta; Chlorophyceae; Sphaeropleales
Description: 23S ribosomal RNA
Source: RNAcentral